Nerophis lumbriciformis (worm pipefish) is the source of this 1043-nucleotide long non-coding RNA. RefSeq lists it as uncharacterized. The record is from RefSeq and is a predicted model, not a curated record. NCBI's taxonomy places the organism in Eukaryota, Metazoa, Chordata, Actinopteri, Syngnathiformes, Syngnathidae.
CUCACUGCAGCUUGCAGCACCACCACCGCGUCUAGGCUUCCUCCUGCCCGGGUUGGAUCAUGCUGACGGGGGCAUGGGCGAGGGUGUGCACCCGGGAUCCCUCACUGGGGCUGGGGGCUUUUUUUUUUUCUUUUUUUUUUAUAAAGGGAGGAUGGAGGACUCUGUUGCUUGGUGGUGAAGAAAAGAUGCACAAGAAGCUUUGCCCACCCCUUACCAAAAAAAAAAGGAUGUUGGUUAAUCCGGAAUGUGAUCAGAUGUGACUUUUGGGGCGGCGGCAGUGGCUGGACAUGGAAGUUGGAACUUGCAGAUGACAUCUUCUGCAGGGAGCCAGACCAGCAGGCUGUAAGGCUCCUUGUGGAUGCUGCUGUAUGCCACCUGCAUGCAUGCCUGGGAUGGCUGGGUUAUGUAAUGAUGUCAUACUUCAUGGUGCUCGUCAUCAGAUACCGGAGAACCUUCUAAAGCCUCCUAUGGUCCGACACUUCGAGCCUCAACAAGGGUUUUCAAGAGAAAAAGUGCACAAGAAGAGAAGUCCAACAACAACAACAACAACACACACGUUGUCAGUAGCUGUUUAAAUAACAGUGGCUAACUUUUUUUUUUUACACUUCCAACAUUUAGAAGACUGCUCAAACGUGAAACGGUUGUAGUCAUGACACGUUUUAUUGAUUUGAUGUUUUCUUUUCAUUGGUUAUGUUAUUUUUGUGACAAGUAAGAACGUGAAAGUAAGCAAAAUGGUGAGGUGCAUUUAUCACGUGACCGACUUUUACACCAACCCUCGUCAUUACUGUUUUAUUUACCGCUCACUAAUAACACUGUUUAACUUCUUUUUACACUUAUGUGACAAUAUGGAUGUUUUUAUGUUUUAUCAUUAAUAAUGAUUAACUUAUUUUUACAAUAUGGAUGUUUUUAUGUUUUAUUAAUUACAAUGUAUGAAUGUUCUGGUGUUAUUAUUAACACUGUUUAACUUGUGUAACAAUAUGAAUGUAUUAUGCUUAAUGAUUAACAAUGUUUAACUUAUUUUUACACUUGUGUGACAAUAUGAA